This 1015-nucleotide ribosomal RNA is filed under the name Paraburkholderia terricola. Its description in RNAcentral is "bacterial SSU rRNA". It matches the Rfam family "Bacterial small subunit ribosomal RNA", at positions 1 to 1008 of the family's 1533-position model. Lineage: Bacteria; Pseudomonadati; Pseudomonadota; Betaproteobacteria; Burkholderiales; Burkholderiaceae. The record is from RNAcentral.
UUGAACUGAAGAGUUUGAUCCUGGCUCAGAUUGAACGCUGGCGGCAUGCCUUACACAUGCAAGUCGAACGGCAGCACGGGGGCAACCCUGGUGGCGAGUGGCGAACGGGUGAGUAAUACAUCGGAACGUGUCCUGUAGUGGGGGAUAGCCCGGCGAAAGCCGGAUUAAUACCGCAUACGCUCUGCGGAGGAAAGCGGGGGCUCCUUCGGGACCUCGCGCUACAGGGGCGGCCGAUGGCAGAUUAGCUAGUUGGUGGGGUAAAGGCCUACCAAGGCGACGAUCUGUAGCUGGUCUGAGAGGACGACCAGCCACACUGGGACUGAGACACGGCCCAGACUCCUACGGGAGGCAGCAGUGGGGAAUUUUGGACAAUGGGCGCAAGCCUGAUCCAGCAAUGCCGCGUGUGUGAAGAAGGCCUUCGGGUUGUAAAGCACUUUUGUCCGGAAAGAAAACCUCAGCCCUAAUACGGCGGGGGGAUGACGGUACCGGAAGAAUAAGCACCGGCUAACUACGUGCCAGCAGCCGCGGUAAUACGUAGGGUGCAAGCGUUAAUCGGAAUUACUGGGCGUAAAGCGUGCGCAGGCGGUCCGCUAAGACAGAUGUGAAAUCCCCGGGCUUAACCUGGGAACUGCAUUUGUGACUGGCGGGCUAGAGUAUGGCAGAGGGGGGUAGAAUUCCACGUGUAGCAGUGAAAUGCGUAGAGAUGUGGAGGAAUACCGAUGGCGAAGGCAGCCCCCUGGGCCAAUACUGACGCUCAUGCACGAAAGCGUGGGGAGCAAACAGGAUUAGAUACCCUGGUAGUCCACGCCCUAAACGAUGUCAACUAGUUGUCGGGCCUUCAUUGGCUUGGUAACGUAGCUAACGCGUGAAGUUGACCGCCUGGGGAGUACGGUCGCAAGAUUAAAACUCAAAGGAAUUGACGGGGACCCGCACAAGCGGUGGAUGAUGUGGAUUAAUUCGAUGCAACGCGAAAAACCUUACCUACCCUUGACAUGUACGGAAUCCUGCUGAGAGG